RNAcentral lists this transfer RNA (60 nucleotides) under Scolytus schevyrewi. RNAcentral's name for it is "tRNA-Tyr". The record is from RNAcentral. Lineage: Eukaryota; Metazoa; Arthropoda; Insecta; Coleoptera; Curculionidae.
GGUAAAGUGGCUGAGUAAGGCGGUAAACUGUAAAUUUACGAACGGGUAAUUCCCUUUAUC